GCGUCGUUAGGCUCAGUUGGUAGAGCAUACUGGCUCUUAACCAGCGGGUCAUCAGGAAUUCGAGCCACUGUACGACGUACCA
RNAcentral lists this transfer RNA (82 nucleotides) under Mycoplasmopsis bovis. RNAcentral describes it as "Mycoplasma bovis tRNA-Lys". Lineage: Bacteria; Bacillati; Mycoplasmatota; Mycoplasmoidales; Metamycoplasmataceae. The record is from RNAcentral.